GAUGAACGCUGGCGGCGUGCUUAACACAUGCAAGUCGAGCGAAACACCUUAUUUGAUUUUCUUCGGAACUGAAGAUUUGGUGAUUGAGUGGCGGACGGGUGAGUAACGCGUGGGUAACCUGCCCUGUACAGGGGGAUAACAGUCAGAAAUGACUGCUAAUACCGCAUAAGACCACAGCACCGCAUGGUGCAGGGGUAAAAACUCCGGUGGUACAGGAUGGACCCGCGUCUGAUUAGCUGGUUGGUGAGGUAACGGCUCACCAAGGCGACGAUCAGUAGCCGGCUUGAGAGAGUGAACGGCCACAUUGGGACUGAGACACGGCCCAAACUCCUACGGGAGGCAGCAGUGGGGAAUAUUGCACAAUGGGGGAAACCCUGAUGCAGCGACGCCGCGUGAGUGAAGAAGUAUUUCGGUAUGUAAAGCUCUAUCAGCAGGGAAGAAAAUGACGGUACCUGACUAAGAAGCCCCGGCUAACUACGUG
Molecule: ribosomal RNA, 481 nt
Filed under: uncultured bacterium
Lineage: Bacteria
Description: partial 16S ribosomal RNA
Rfam family: Bacterial small subunit ribosomal RNA
Source: RNAcentral